GGUUAAGCGACUAAGCGUACACGGUGGAUGCCCUGGCAGUCAGAGGCGAUGAAGGACGUGCUAAUCUGCGAAAAGCGCCGGCGAGGUGAUAUGAACCCUUGACCCGGCGAUGUCCGAAUGGGGAAACCCAGUGUGAUUCGUCACACUAUCGUUAACUGAAUACAUAGGUUAACGAGGCGAACCGGGGGAACUGAAACAUCUAAGUACCCCGAGGAAAAGAAAUCAACCGAGAUUCCCCCAGUAGCGGCGAGCGAACGGGGAGCAGCCCAGAGUCUGAAUCAGCUUGUGUGUUAGUGGAAGCGUCUGGAAAGUCGCACGGUACAGGGUGAUAGUCCCGUACACGAAAGCACACAGGCUGUGAACUCGAAGAGUAGGGCGGGACACGUGGUAUCCUGUCUGAAUAUGGGGGGACCAUCCUCCAAGGCUAAAUACUCCUGACUGACCGAUAGUGAACCAGUACCGUGAGGGAAAGGCGA
RNAcentral lists this ribosomal RNA (476 nucleotides) under Enterobacter cloacae. RNAcentral describes it as "partial 23S ribosomal RNA". It matches the Rfam family "Bacterial large subunit ribosomal RNA", at positions 1 to 517 of the family's 2925-position model. The record is from RNAcentral. Lineage: Bacteria; Pseudomonadati; Pseudomonadota; Gammaproteobacteria; Enterobacterales; Enterobacteriaceae.